UAAACAAUUAAACCAAACCAAAAAAGAAAAAAAAAACUCUUUUCUUUCUGGCACACAUCACAAUGAGCUCAUUGUGCCCAAUGCAUCAUGGAGUUUAAAACCGAUUGUUUUACCCAGGAAACUGAAGUCAGCGUUGUCAAGGCGUUAACUGAGACUCUAUUCAUUCACAACCAACAGAGAGAGUUUGAAUCGUUGCGGCAAACUGUGUCUGGUGAAGUGGGCGUCACCAAGAGCGCUUAAGAGAAAGUCUGUGUGUGGACCUGUGACUCUACAUGAAUGACUCAAGUGAAGAAACACGCGUGAAACCACUAUUUCAAAGGAAAAAGAAGAGGAAGAAGGGACAUCUUUAACUUUCGCAGUGGAACUUGAGUGCGCAUUUGCGCAAAGUCUCUCCAAAGUCACUUGGUAACUUUUGCGCACCAGUGCAGCUCCAUUCUCAAGCAGUUUUGGGUCACUGCGAGGAGAGACUGUCGUCCAGCAGAAUGGCGUCAGACGUGGGCCGUAGCACUUGAGGUCAGCUACUCACUCAGCGCACAGUGUUUAUUCUGUCUUCAGGUCCUCCUGGGAAGUUCCUACUUAAGAGUUCGGAAGUCAUAAUUAUGAUGUGAAGUGAUUUGGCUUGAAAUAAUACGGAUGAGUUGAGCAUAUUUAUGUGUCUUUAACCCAGCUAACAGGGAAUGUUCACAGAACUUGGUUAGAAUGUUAAUACAGUGUUCAUUCAAAGUUCGUGAGAUGCACACUUAUCUAAUGUGUGUCAUUGUUUUGGAAUGUUCAGAGAACAUUCGAAAGUAACGUUCCCAUAAUGUUUGCAAAAUUAUUAAAUGAAAUGUUUGCAUAACCCCAAAAAAAAAGAAGGAAAAAAAAAGUUUUUGAAACAUUUAGAUAUUUAGAAUGUUCACACUUUUGUCAGAAGUAAUAUUUUCAUAACUUAAUGCAUAGUAACGUUAAACGUUCUUAGAACAUUUUUGUUAGCUGGGAACCUUACAAUGCAUUUUUAGUCUAAAUGAAGAAGAAAUUAUGCACAUUAGGUGCAAUUUAAGAUGAAUUGUAAAAAAUAUAUAUUUUAUCAUUCUUGUGCAACCGCAUAUAAUGACUGAAAAUGUAUUUCACAAAAUGUUUACAAAUUAGUUUUACAUUAUAUCAACAUUCACACCCUUGGUUCCACAAGUAUUUUUCUCAUUCAUUAUCUGUUUAUAAUUCUAUUAUCCAUUAUCUAUUCUAAUCUUGAAAACAUUUGAGUUUUAAACUAUGAAGACCAACCAGCUGGAAGAUGAAUCACAAACUUUACAUCUUGCUCCUAAAAUGUAUGGAAAUCUGAGAAAAAGGCAAAAGUACAAGACGGUGUAGUUUAAUUUUUUUUGGAAAUAAUACUCUAUAAAAUAUUAUGUAGAACUCUUGAUGUGCAGUCAUUCCUUGUUUAUUAGAUAUUGUUUGUAUAAAAUAUAAUACAAAUCUUUGAAUAGUUAAUUUGAAUUUAUUUAAUUUUAAUUAGAUUAUUAUUUUUUAAUUAUUAUUAAUUGAAUUUGUUAUUUUAGAUUAAUUUACAUUUGUUUUGAUGGCAUCAGUCUCUUUCCUUAUCUCUUUCUGUAAAUUUGCUUUGAGAAAGUGGACUCUCAUUCCAUGAAAUUUGCCUUGAAAUCAUUAACUUACACAGAAGAACGUCUCAUGUAGAUGAUUAUAUGUUAUACGGAGCUCAUGUGGAUCUGUCUUGAAAGGUUUAUACAAUAAUGCUAUAACUCUAUUGAGAAGAUGAAUGGGACUGUACUUCUGGAACCCAACUGUUGUGCUCUAUAGCCAUUAGCUUCUAAUGUGAUUUUAUCAUCGACACGAACCCUACACAAAAAGUCUCUUUAAUAAUUAACCAUCAUGGUGUAUAUGACUCUGACAUGACUUGAAGGCAGCAUGCUUUAUUUAUUUUCAAGCUAAGCUACUGUGGACUUGUAAAGACAAACAACUGAGCAGCACUGCCAAACUAGCUGAAGGAUUGUUAAAGAGCCGAUGCACAGCCAUGUAACAUGAACACUUAUCACUCACAAUAAAUGUUUCCCUGAAAAACA
Long non-coding RNA from Cyprinus carpio (common carp), 2057 nucleotides. RefSeq lists it as uncharacterized. The record is from RefSeq and is a predicted model, not a curated record. NCBI's taxonomy places the organism in Eukaryota, Metazoa, Chordata, Actinopteri, Cypriniformes, Cyprinidae.